This 960-nucleotide ribosomal RNA is filed under the name Triticum aestivum (bread wheat). RNAcentral describes it as "partial small subunit ribosomal RNA". The record is from RNAcentral. Lineage: Eukaryota; Viridiplantae; Streptophyta; Magnoliopsida; Poales; Poaceae.
AUGUCAGAGGACAAGGGCCGCAGUCGCGGCGGUGCACGGGUGAAAGUCCGGGAGGCGGUCUGCAACGCCGUCGCCGGCGGUUCGGCUGGGGUCAUCUCGGCGACGGUGCUGUGCCCGCUGGACGUGCUCAAGACGCGUCUGCAGGUGUACGGUCUCCCUUCAAACCUUUCCCCUGGCACUGCGCCGCCUGGUAGGAUAAUUCUUUCAGGAUUGCAACACAUACUCAAAACUGAAGGCCUUCCUGGGUUGUAUCGUGGCCUUUCUCCAACAAUAGUAGCACUAUAUCCAACUUGGGCUGUUACAUUUUCAGUUUAUAAUUACGUGAGGGGUCUUCUUCGAUCUCAAGAUACUAAAAAUGGCGAACUGUCCAUACAGGAAAAUAUUUUAGCUGCUUCCUGUGCAGGGAUUGCAACAGCUGUUGCAACUAAUCCAUUAUGGGUUGUGAAGACUAGACUACAAACACAAGGGAUGAGGCCUGGCGUGGUGCCUUACACGAGCGUCUUAUCUGCGUUACGUAGGAUUGCAGCAGAAGAAGGUCUCCGUGGAUUGUACAGUGGUCUUCUUCCUUCUUUAGCUGGGGUUACUCAUGUAGCCAUCCAGUUCCCAGUAUACGAGAAGGCGAAGCUGUACCUUGCCAAAAGAGACAAUACUACAGUUGACAAGCUUGGCCCUGGUCAAGUAGCAAUUUGUUCUUCAGGAUCCAAAAUAGCAGCCUCGCUGAUAACAUACCCUCAUGAGGUUGUACGAUCUAAGUUGCAAGAACAAGGCCGUGUUCCCCAUGGUGCUAUACGGUAUAUAGGUGUAACGGACUGUAUAAAGCAAGUGUUACAGAAGGAGGGGAUUGCUGGAUUCUACCGAGGUUGUGCUACAAAUUUGUUGCGAACAACGCCGAACGCUGUCAUUACUUUUACUAGUUAUGAGAUGAUCAAUCGACUCAUGCACCAACUCCUGUCCUCCUAA